This 248-nucleotide ribosomal RNA is filed under the name Mycobacterium tuberculosis. RNAcentral's name for it is "partial 23S ribosomal RNA". It matches the Rfam family "Bacterial large subunit ribosomal RNA", at positions 1642 to 1876 of the family's 2925-position model. The record is from RNAcentral. Lineage: Bacteria; Bacillati; Actinomycetota; Actinomycetes; Mycobacteriales; Mycobacteriaceae.
CCGUACCGUAAACCGACACAGGUGGGUAGGAUGAGAAUUCUCAGGCGCUUGAGAGAACUCGGGUGAAGGAACUAGGCAACAUGGCACCGUAACUUCGGGAGAAGGUGCACCCUUUUUGGUGGCUCGUGCGAGCUAUAGCUGAAGAGGGUCGCAGUAACCAGGCCGCUGCGACUGUUUAUCAAAAACACAGCACUCUGCAAACACGAAAGUGGACGUAUAGGGUGUGACGCCUGCCCGGUGCUGGAAGG